This 114-nucleotide small RNA is filed under the name Marmota monax (woodchuck). Lineage: Eukaryota; Metazoa; Chordata; Mammalia; Rodentia; Sciuridae. The record is from RNAcentral.
GCUGGGCAUGGGGGCAUAUGCCUGUAGUCCCAGCUAUUUGGGAGGCUGAAGCAAGAGAUUCACUUGAGCCCUGGGCUUUGAGACUAGCCUGGGCAUAGCAAGACCCUGUCUCUU